Molecule: long non-coding RNA, 446 nt
Filed under: Zalophus californianus (California sea lion)
Lineage: Eukaryota; Metazoa; Chordata; Mammalia; Carnivora; Otariidae
Description: lncRNA (ENSZCAG00015003100.1)
Source: RNAcentral
AUCCUGCGCGGAGAGGAGCCGGUGCAUUCCUGGCGCGAUCGCCUUUUAUUGAAGCUUUUAAUUAAAGGGGCCAGUUGGCGAGCCCCUGAAACAACCGCCAAAACCCCCAAAAGAGAAAAAUAAACGCUGUAGCCUUCGGGAACGGUUGUUUCGGCUCCUGUUCUGUGGGCGGCUGAGGACCGCCGGCUGCCGGGCUCGGAGAAGAACAGUGCAGAGACAGUACAGGACUUUCACAAAGGUGCAGAGCUCCCAAGUGACACGGGCAGAGUUUGAACCGGUCUCCUGGACCCUAGGUGGAAGCUCUUAGGAAAGAUCACCCAAGUUUCCAGUCCUUGGAAUCGACUUCUGAGACACACGAGAAAAUGAGCUUCUUUAUUUUUCCUUCCAAUGGUAUUCCUGAAAAGAAAAAGAGAAAUAUUAUCUUCCGACAUGCCCACCUGAAUUCC